CCCUUAGAUGUUCUGGGCCGCACGCGCGCUACACUGAUGCAUUCAACGAGUGUUUCCUUGGCCGAGAGGCCUGGGCAAUCUUUUGAAUGUGCAUCGUGAUAGGGAUAGAUUGUUGCAAUUAUUAAUCUUGAACGAGGAAUUCCUAGUAAACGCAGUUCAUCAAACUGCAUUGAUUACGUCCCUGCCCUUUGUACACACCGCCCGUCGCACCUACCGAUUGAAUGGUCCGGUGAAGCCUCCGGAUUGGCGUGCACCCUCGGGUGCUGCCGAGAAGUUGGCUAAACCUUACCAUUUAGAGGAAGGUGAAGUCGUAACA
RNAcentral lists this ribosomal RNA (316 nucleotides) under uncultured eukaryote. Its description in RNAcentral is "partial 18S ribosomal RNA". It matches the Rfam family "Eukaryotic small subunit ribosomal RNA", at positions 1470 to 1796 of the family's 1831-position model. The record is from RNAcentral.